Molecule: long non-coding RNA, 138 nt
Organism: Spea bombifrons (plains spadefoot toad)
Lineage: Eukaryota; Metazoa; Chordata; Amphibia; Anura; Pelobatidae
Exons: 2
Source: RefSeq, a predicted model, not a curated record
UGAGGGCUGGGGUAAAGUGUGAGACUGAGUGCUGGGGAAAAUGUGAGUGCUGGGGCAAAGUGUGAGUGCUGGGGCAAAGUGUGAGUGCUGGGGCAAAAAAAAGUCCUGGCUCCUAACUUUUUUAGCUGGCUCCUAGAU